GCGAAUUCCGUGUCAGGGGCGGGGGGAAGAAGGGGGUUCCAAGAGUGAUCAGGAAACAUUGGGUUUAAAUGUGCCGUAGGCGGCCUUAUAAGUCAGUGGUGAAAUCUCCUAGGUCAACUAGGAAACUGCAAUUGAUACUGUAGGGCUUGAAUUUUGGUGAAGUAACUAGAAUAUGUAGGGUAGCGGUGAAAUGCUUAGAUAUUACAUGGAAGAGCAAUGGCGAAGGCAGGUUACUAACAAACGAUUGACGCUGAUGGACGAAAGCGUGGGGAGCGAACAGGAUUAGAUACCCUUGUAGUC
Molecule: ribosomal RNA, 300 nt
Filed under: uncultured Streptococcus sp.
Lineage: Bacteria; Bacillati; Bacillota; Bacilli; Lactobacillales; Streptococcaceae
Description: bacterial SSU rRNA
Rfam family: Bacterial small subunit ribosomal RNA
Source: RNAcentral